This is a long non-coding RNA of Ictidomys tridecemlineatus (thirteen-lined ground squirrel), 4273 nucleotides long. RefSeq lists it as uncharacterized. The record is from RefSeq and is a predicted model, not a curated record. Lineage: Eukaryota; Metazoa; Chordata; Mammalia; Rodentia; Sciuridae.
AGCAGAACAAAACCCAGGUUGCAGAGAAAAGCCAAGAAUGAAGCUGGAAUUCAAAGGCCCAGCUCCUGACCAGGGGUUGGGGGACUGCGCAGGGACCCACUCUGUGCUUGGAAUGGAGCCCUUGCUGCUCUGCCACUGAGGCUUCUGUUAAAAGGAGCAUGGUUCUUCUUCCCCUCCCAAAUUUCUAAGUGAAUUUCCACCCGCCCUCUUCCAGGGCACGCCUCUACGCGGCCUCUGAGUCACCUCCCUCCCGAUCCUCUGGUGCCCUUCAGGGCAGAUCACAGCCUCUGGGACUGCAGCCCCGUUUCUCCUUUGCUGGCAAAGCUGUAAGACUUGUUUUGCGUCUUUCUCAAAGUGUCCUCGUGAUGGACUGGCUUGGGGCCAAGGACUGGACUUUCGGCAACAGGGCCAAGGGGAAGAAGAUGGUCUAGAAAAUGACGCAGGCUUUUCCGGCUGGACACGGGCAUCCACACACAGGAGGCUCCUGACUUCCCGGUGCCACAGUGAGCCCUGGCGCGGUCGCCCUGGCACAUGGCCUGCUAGAGGUGGUACACGCUCCUGAUCUCGGCGGCCUUGAUCUUGUCCGCCUGCGUCACCAGCGUCAGCGCCUCCUCCACCUGCCUCUUGGCCCCCCUGAGCUCCGAGAUCUCCUGCUGCAUCUUGACCUUCUCCACCUCGAAGCCCUUCCUGGCCUCCUCCUUGGCCUCGCACAGCAGCACCGUCUUGGCCUUGUCGGGGGCGCCGUCGCGCAGGGCGUUGAGCAGUGCCUGCAGCCGCUGGUUCUCGUUGUCCUUGAUCUUGAUGACCCGCAGCAGCUCGGCCUCGUGCUGCCGCAGCAGCGCCUCGCGCACGGCCUGCAGCUCCUUCAUCUUCUCCUCGUGCAGCUUGGUCUUCAGCUCCGUGACCAGCACCGCGUGCUUGCGCUGCUCGUGCUCACGCACCUGCCGCAGCUCCUGGCUCUUCUCCCGCUCCACUCUGCUGACCUGGAAGACAAGGACACUGUGGUCACCCGCCAGGCGAGUGCCCGCUCCCGGGAACCGCAAGCUGCAUGGGAGGGGGGCUGCCUUCCAUUCUGGGGUGUGCUUAACAUGCUGAUGAAGACCCCAAGUCAAGCUUGCUUGGUGGAGAGCGUGGCCAUGCCCUGCGGCUCUGCAGCACUCCUGGCUGUAGACCCUGACCAGCCUGCCUCCCAGCCUCCUCCUUCCCCUCCCCAGCCUGGCCCGCCUGCUCUGGUCUCCUCUGCUGAUUCAGUCCCACAGAGCAUGGCCUGUGUCUCUGUGGGUCCGGUGCACCUACUCCACCUCCUCUCCGGGUCCCACUUCAGGAGCUGCCACCUAACCCCUGGCAUAGGACUGGGUUACUUUCCUCACAGAGCUGAUCAUUCUGUUAGUCAGCUCUCCAUUACUGUAACAAAUACUUCAGACAAAUCAACUUCUAAAGAGAAAAGGUUUGUUUGGCUCACAAUUUCAGAGGUUCCAGUCCUUGAUCAGUUGGCCCAUUGCUUUGGGCCCAUGAUGACAUAGCAUCACAGCAGGGGCACAUGGCAGAGCAAAACCACUCACCCUGUGGCCAGGAGAUAAAGGAAGAAAGGGCUAGGGUCUCAGGAUCCCCUUUCCAGGACAGGAUCCCCGGAGCAAAGACCUCCCUUAGGCCCCACCUCUUAGAGGUUCCCCCAGCUCCUAGUGACACCCCGGUGGGGACUAAGCCUUCAGCUGGGGCUGUGGGCUGCAUCUGAAAUCAAGCCAUGGCACAACCCUGCGAGUCUGCUCAUCUCUGUGACUGUCCUGUCUCCCUCCCACCACGGGCAGCCUCUGAGGGUGGGGGUGGCAGGCCACCUGUCCUGUCUCCCUCUGAGGAUGGCCUUAGGCCUGAGCCUAAGCAACUCAUUUUAAAAACUCCACUUUAUAACUCCAGUCUCCGCACCCUGACAAACUCAGCUAACUCUCUGGCUUGUUGUCUUUGCCCUUAUCAAGAAAAUCAGGGUGGGGACCACCAGACCAGAUGCUUUUACCCUAGGUUUACCCUAGAGACCCAGUGGCAGCUGAUAGGGAUUGAAAGUGUGGUCAAAAGCCCCCAAAUUUAGAAUAAAUGAAGGAGCACGUGAACGGACGUUCAGCCAGCCAAUGCUGAUGCCCACAAGCCGGGAGCCUGAUGAGGACCUGCACUGACAUCCCAUCACUUGUCAUCCUUGGCUGAUCCUCUGUGUGGUCCUCACUGCUCUCAAACUCCACGCCACAUCUUGACCCUGGUGAGAGCAGUGAGUUCUCCCUGAGACCCUCUCCUCAACCUGCCUGCCUUGGAGGAGGAGCCUGCCCUGGUUCCUGACCCGAUGACCGCGGUCUGAGUGGGCAUCUGUGGACUUAGAGCCCAAGGCUGGAGACUUUAGACUGGCACUAGAACUUCGCAUGCUGAGGGGAUGUCUAAGUGUGUUUGCGGUGCUUAGAAUUAAUUAGAAGUGUCUGCUGUGAACUGAUCGUGUCUAUUGCAGUGCCCAGCAUUAAGGAUUGUCGUUUUCUUCAUUAAGAACCUAUGGAGUGGAAUUGUAGUGAGUGAGCUGAGUGAAUAAGCAUUGAGGGGGCAGAAGCGGUGGACAUUCUUCAGUUCUCCCCCUCGCACCUUCAGCCCUCACGACCCUCCCCACCAGGAAAGGCUGACAGGGCUCACUCAGCUGGUGCUAGGGCUGGCGUCCAGCACUGGGACUGGGGUCCCAGCUGUGGGGUCCAACCCUGGGACUCCCUCUGGGUCCCCUACGGGUACUACAGUGCUGAAGGUUCCAACCACCAGGCUCUCCUGACCCUGCCAGGGGCCCGCCUGUCUGGACUCCGCCUGGCAAGCUGGCAGGUGCCGAAAGCGAGGGCACAGACGCUUGCCGCCCUUCUAUCUGUCAUGGACCCCCCUUCCAGCAGGGACCAAGUUCCGGGUGCCGGAGGGUGUUCUGGGCACCUGGGGGUGUGGCCCUGAGUCUUUGCCUGCCUUGGUGGGUCACUUCUGCAGGGCUGCAGACCAUGCUCCGUGGGGGCUGGGGGUGGAGCGGGGGUGGCUCCCAUCUAGGGUCAGGCACACAGCAGGUCCCCAGGCUGGACAUGUCCUCUCAGCAGACAAAGCAUCACCUUUGUGGAGACUCCUUGAUGGGCACUCAGCAGAGGACAGUCAUGCGUGGCAUGUCACCGAGCAGAUGUUUGUGGGAGGGGAGGAGAGUGCAGGAGAGCGCGGGCGGAACAGUCCAAGGUUAGGCGGGUGGAGACCUGCGUGGGGUCCUGUGGAGUGAUUCUGGGCCCUUCGCCCAGAGCCUGUGACUUCACCACCCCCCCGGGUCUCCACCUGAGUCGACAUCAGACGUGGGGAAAGGCAAGGGGUGGUCUCCAACAGCCCAGGGCAGCAGGGCUCCCGUCAGGCAGCUGCAGAUACAGCGUCCAGGAGACGCUUCUGCUCCUGGAGAGCCGUGGGAGGUGGCCUCGCUGGCCCUGCUUCUCAGCAGGCAAGGGCCGCUCCGCCUCCAGCCCCAGAGACUGAGGGACAAGGGCAGAGGACACAGCCCUAGGUGGCCCGGGUGUGUGGGGGGCGGGAAGCAGCUUUCCCAUGACUCGGAAAGGGAACUGUUCAGGAGGAAGCACUGCGGUCCUCCUGAGGCCCACCGCUGGCUCUCACAGCAGCCCGCGGCCUGGGGGACAGGCCUGGGGGUGCCCAGCUGCCCUGGAUUAGCAGUGAGGACUCCCCUCCCCCGGGGGCCCUGUCCCUUCGGCAGGCUCCCCAGGCCACGGGUGGAGGUUUCCUCACUGCGGGGUGCGCCUCCGCGUGCUAUCCGGCUGCCGUGGAAAGGCGAGAUGAACUUUUGACUCUUCUCCCAGCCCUCGGGUGCCGAGGAAGUGGUGCCUUGGGAACAUGUGAACCUGGACGUCCUCGAUGGGCUUCGUUCCGUGCACAUCUCAUCCUGGCCACAGCUGCGUGUCCCCCUGGCCAGCGGCCCUCUCCAGAUGCCCCUCGAAGCCCCAGGUGCCCCCAGCAGCCUCCAGGCUCUGACGGAGACCCUGCCGCUCCUCUUGCUCCUCUCCCACAGCGCUGUUCUCUUCAUGGGAAAUGGCACCUCAAGGUCACCACCGGGCCCUGGGUUGCUCACUGCUUCUGGGGAGGUCAUUGUGGGAACUUUUCAAGAGACAGAUGAAACUUCAAAUUUGGUUUUACAGAGACAUACACAAACCAUAUCACGUCUUAGUAAGUAUAAGGCUAUAUGCCAUAUCUUACGCUAAACAAAAUACACCACAUUUGUCACCCA